GAGGCUGUAGCUCAGCAGCAGAGAGCCCCUGCUUUGCAUGCAGAACGUCCCAGGUUCAAUCCCCAGUAGGAUCU
This is a non-coding RNA of Podarcis lilfordi (Lilford's wall lizard), 74 nucleotides long. NCBI's taxonomy places the organism in Eukaryota, Metazoa, Chordata, Lepidosauria, Squamata, Lacertidae. The record is from the annotation of a GenBank genome assembly.